RNAcentral lists this long non-coding RNA (227 nucleotides) under Salvia miltiorrhiza (redroot sage). RNAcentral's name for it is "long non-coding RNA (SMIL_LNC014052)". The record is from RNAcentral. Lineage: Eukaryota; Viridiplantae; Streptophyta; Magnoliopsida; Lamiales; Lamiaceae.
AGUAUCGCAGCAAAAGGUGAAUCGAUUAUAUGUAUGAAGACAUAUAACCGUGAGUACAUUGCUUAAUUUCAAAAGAAAAUCAAAGUAUAUCAAUCAUCAAGACUUUAUCGUCAAAAUGGAAAUGCGAUAAAGUAAAUACAUCCUCUAACAAUUCCCCACCAGCACCAGUCCAAUCUCGCUCCUCGCUUAGUCUGCACAUUUAGAAAUACAUGCAGGGCGUGAGUACA